AUUGAACGCUGGCGGCAUGCCUUACACAUGCAAGUCGAACGGCAGCGCGGACUUCGGUCUGGCGGCGAGUGGCGAACGGGUGAGUAAUACAUCGGAACGUACCCUGUUGUGGGGGAUAACUAGUCGAAAGAUUAGCUAAUACCGCAUACGACCUACGGGUGAAAGUGGGGGACCUUCGGGCCUCACGCGAUGAGAUGAGCCGAUGCCGGAUUAGCUAGUUGGCGGGGUAAAGGCCCACCAAGGCGACGAUCCGUAGCUGGUCUGAGAGGAUGAUCAGCCACACUGGAACUGAGACACGGUCCAGACUCCUACGGGAGGCAGCAGUGGGGAAUAUUGGACAAUGGGGGCGAACCCUGAUCCAGCCAUGCCGCGUGAGUGAAGAAGGCCCUCGGGUUGUAAAGCUCUUUUGUCCGGAAAGAAAAGCAAUCGGUUAAUACCCGGUUGUUCUGACGGUACCGGAAGAAUAAGCACCGGCUAACUUCGUGCCAGCAGCCGCGGUAA
RNAcentral lists this ribosomal RNA (501 nucleotides) under uncultured bacterium. RNAcentral's name for it is "bacterial SSU rRNA". It matches the Rfam family "Bacterial small subunit ribosomal RNA", at positions 30 to 523 of the family's 1533-position model. The record is from RNAcentral.